Molecule: microRNA precursor, 203 nt
Filed under: Oryza brachyantha (malo sina)
Lineage: Eukaryota; Viridiplantae; Streptophyta; Magnoliopsida; Poales; Poaceae
Description: MIR812 microRNA precursor family
Rfam family: MIR812 microRNA precursor family
Source: Rfam by way of RNAcentral
AUGAAGUUCAGUUCUUAGAUUUUAGAUACAAUGUUUUGACUAUUCGUUUUAUCUGAAAUUUUUUUAUGAUUAAUAUUUUUAUUGUUACUAAAUGGUAAAACAUGAAUAAUACUUUAUGUGUGACUAAUUUUUUAAGUUUUUUAAAUUUUUAAAUAAAACGAAUGGUUAAACAUUAGACACAGAAAUUAAAAAAUAAAGUUAUG